CUCUACUGCAUAGAGAAUUACUUUGCCUUUGUCUCAGUACCAAACAAAGCAUAAUUGGAUCACAACAUCUCCAAAAGACUUAAAACCAUUUUCUAACUCGCCACGCUUAGAGAAAAAGUGAAAGCUGCAUUUUGAAAUCAAAUUGAGUC
Molecule: long non-coding RNA, 149 nt
Organism: Toxotes jaculatrix (banded archerfish)
Lineage: Eukaryota; Metazoa; Chordata; Actinopteri; Toxotidae
Exons: 3
Source: RefSeq, a predicted model, not a curated record